This 776-nucleotide ribosomal RNA is filed under the name uncultured Neocallimastigales. RNAcentral describes it as "partial large subunit ribosomal RNA". It matches the Rfam family "Eukaryotic large subunit ribosomal RNA", at positions 24 to 616 of the family's 3401-position model. Lineage: Eukaryota; Fungi; Neocallimastigomycota; Neocallimastigomycetes; Neocallimastigales. The record is from RNAcentral.
UAUGUGAUCGUCUCUCGCAUAUCAAUAAGCGGAGGAAAAGAAACUAACAAGGAUUCCCCUAGUAACGGCGAGUGAAGCGGGAAGAGCUCAAAUUUGAAAUCUUAAAGGGUUUCCCUUUACGAAUUGUAGUUUAAAGAAGUGUUUUCUGUUGAGGUUUUGGUAAAAGUUCUUUGGAAUAGGACAUCAUAGAGGGUGAGAAUCCCGUAUUUGACCUUUACUUUCAACUUUGUGAUACACUUUCAAAGAGUCGGAUUGUUUGGGAAUGCAGUCCAAAAUGGGUGGUAAAUUUCAUCUAAAGCUAAAUAUUGGCGAGAGACCGAUAGCGAACAAGUACCGUGAGGGAAAGAUGAAAAGAACUUUGAAAAGAGAGUUAAACAGUACGUGAAAUUGUCAAAAGGGAAGCGUUUGACACCAGUGUUGUUUUUCUGAAAAUCAAUUAAAGAACUGUUUAUGCUAAGCUUGUUUAGACUUUAUCAGCUAACUGUUUAGUUUUGAGCUUUUCUUUAAUGCACUUUUCAGUUAACAAGUCAACAUCAAUUUCUUUUGCUGUAAAAAAGCUUGAGGAAGGUGGCUUGAGAUUCGUCUUAAGUGUUUAUAGCCUCUUGCCUAUGCAGUCGGAGAGAUUGAGGUCUGCAGCGUAGAUCCUUCGGGGCUAAAUGCAUUUGUGCUAAGUUAUAAGCAUUUUAUAGACAACUUGUUGACUAUGAUUUGUCUUGUAGCUUACUCGCUUAUGUUAUUUUACCUACGCUUAGGAUGUUGAGCGCAUGUCUCUCUCU